GUGUUAGUCCAUUUUGCAUCUUGGGUAAUUUAUGAGAAAUAAGAUUUAUUUGAAUCACACCCUGCAGGCUAUACCAGAAGCAUAGCACCAGCAUCUGCUUCUGGUGAGGGGCUUGGGGAGCUUCCAAUCAUAGCAGAGUGGAAGAGGAGUCAUGUAUUACAAGUUUGAGCUCUUCCAAUGGGACAGUCUUGGGGAGGACCAUCCCAUGAGGUAGAAGAAGCAGCUUGCUGGUUUUCUUGAACUACUUCUUCUCUGCAAGGUCAGUGGAUGGGGGAGUAGGCCUCAUCACCUUCCUCUCAACCCUCUGUC
Molecule: long non-coding RNA, 309 nt
Filed under: Callithrix jacchus (white-tufted-ear marmoset)
Lineage: Eukaryota; Metazoa; Chordata; Mammalia; Primates; Cebidae
Description: lncRNA (ENSCJAG00000056433.2)
Source: RNAcentral